GUGUCAGCCGCCGCGGUAAUACGGAGGAUGCGAGCGUUAUCCGGAUUUAUUGGGUUUAAAGGGUGCGCAGGCGGGAUCUUAAGUCAGCGGUGAAAUUUUCAGGCUCAACCUGAACACUGCCGUUGAAACUGGGAUUCUUGAGUAUAGAUGAAGUAGGCGGAAUUCGUUGUGUAGCGGUGACAUGCUUAGAUAUAACGAGGAACUCCAAUUGCGUAGGCAGCUUACUAAGCUAUAACUGACGCUCAAGCACGAAAGCGUGGGGAUCAAACAGGAUUAGAUACCCUGGUAGUCCACGCUGUAAACGAUGAUUACUAGUUGUUUGUGAUAUAUUAUAAGUGACUAAGCGAAAGCGAUAAGUAAUCCACCUGGGGAGUACGCCGGCAACGGUGAAACUCAAAGGAAUUGACGGGGGCCCGCACAAGCGGAGGAACAUGUGGUUUAAUUCGAUGAUACGCGAGGAACCUUACCCGGGCUUGAAAUGUAGAGGAAUAACGAAGAAAUUUGUUAGCCAGCAAUGGUCUCUAUGUAGGUGCUGCAUGGCUG
This 543-nucleotide ribosomal RNA is filed under the name uncultured Dysgonomonas sp. RNAcentral describes it as "bacterial SSU rRNA". It matches the Rfam family "Bacterial small subunit ribosomal RNA", at positions 505 to 1051 of the family's 1533-position model. Lineage: Bacteria; Pseudomonadati; Bacteroidota; Bacteroidia; Bacteroidales; Dysgonomonadaceae. The record is from RNAcentral.